This is a long non-coding RNA of Ailuropoda melanoleuca (giant panda), 545 nucleotides long. RefSeq lists it as uncharacterized. The record is from RefSeq and is a predicted model, not a curated record. Lineage: Eukaryota; Metazoa; Chordata; Mammalia; Carnivora; Ursidae. The transcript has 3 exons.
AGAACUGAGGACAGAACUUGGCACGUGGCCGGGGCAUGAACUGAAAAGAACACUGUGUUCACAUCUACCUGCCUGACCCCUGUAACGCCGGCCUCUGGGCCCUUGAACCGUGGCCUGCACCCUCGUUUAACACACUUAAAAAACUGAAGCAUAGUUGAAAUACAGUGUCAUGUGAGUUUCAGGUGUACAGUGUUGUGGUUUGACAAUUCUGUACCUUAUGCUACGGUCACCGCGGACUGAAACUCUCUCCAUUAAACAACGACCUCCCACUCCCCCCUCCCUCUGGCCCCUGGUUUGAGAUUUUUCAUAACGAAGUGUGAGCACACACGUAUCUGAGGAACCAGCGAUCGCAGUCCCGGAUACGGGUCCGUACCUGAUAGAAAUGACCGCUCAUGUCCAGCAACAGGCACGCGUGAAUGACACCCAGCAGCGCCACCCACAAUAGCCCCAAAGAGGAAACAACGCAAGUGUCCAACAGCAGUCGAAAGUAUAAAGAAACUGUGUUGUAUUCCCAUGGUUGAGAGCUACAACAGUGCUGGAGAGCA